CCUACGGGAGGCAGCAGUGAGGAAUAUUGGUCAAUGGGCGCGAGCCUGAACCAGCCAAGUAGCGUGAAGGAUGACUGCCCUACGGGUUGUAAACUUCUUUUAUAAAGGAAUAAAGUGAGGCUCGUGUGCCUUUUUGUCUGUACUUUAUGCAUAAGGAUCGGCUAACUCCGUGCCAGCAGCCGCGGUAAUACGGAGGAUCCGAGCGUUAUCCGGAUUUAUUGGGUGUAAAGGGAGCGUAGAUGGGUUGUUAAGUCAGAUGUGAAAGUUUGCGGCUCAACCGUAAAAUUGCAAUUGAUACUGGCAGUCUUGAGUGCAGUUGAGGUAAGCGGAAUUCGUGGUGUAGCGGUGAAAUGCUUAGAUAUAACGAAGAACUCCGAUUGCGAAGGCAGCUUACUAAACUGCCACUGACAUUGAGGCUCGAAAGUGUGGGGAGCAAACAGGAUUAGAUACCCUGGUAGUC
Molecule: ribosomal RNA, 460 nt
Filed under: uncultured bacterium
Lineage: Bacteria
Description: partial 16S ribosomal RNA
Rfam family: Bacterial small subunit ribosomal RNA
Source: RNAcentral